GACGAACGCUGGCGGCGUGCCUAAUACAUGCAAGUUGAGCGCUGAAGGUUGGUACUUGUACCAACUGGAUGAGCAGCGAACGGGUGAGUAACGCGUGGGGAAUCUGCCUUUGAGCGGGGGACAACAUUUGGAAACGAAUGCUAAUACCGCAUAAAAACUUUAAACACAAGUUUUAAGUUUGAAAUAUGCAAUUGCAUCACUCAAAGAUGAUCCCGCGUUGUAUUAGCUAGUUGGUGAGGUAAAGGCUCACCAAGGCGAUGAUACAUAGCCGACCUGAGAGGGUGAUCGGCCACAUUGGGACUGAGACACGGCACAAACUCCUACGGGAGGCAGCAGUAGGGAAUCUUCGGCAAUGGACGAAAGUCUGACCGAGCAACGCCGAGUGAGUGAAGAAGGUUUUCGGAUCGUAAAACUCUGUUGGUAGAGAAGAACGUUGGUGAGAGUGGAAAGCUCAUCAAGUGACGGUAACUACCCAGAAAGGGACGGCUAACUACGUG
This 497-nucleotide ribosomal RNA is filed under the name uncultured bacterium. RNAcentral describes it as "partial 16S ribosomal RNA". It matches the Rfam family "Bacterial small subunit ribosomal RNA", at positions 28 to 507 of the family's 1533-position model. The record is from RNAcentral.